AUUGAACGCUGGCGGCAGGCCUAACACAUGCAAGUCGAGCGGAUGAGGGUAGCUUGCUCCUGGGUUAAGCGGCGGACGGGUGAGUAAUGCCUAGGAAUCUGCCUGCUAGUGGGGGAUAACGUCCGCAAACGGGCGCUAAUAGCGCAUACGUCCUGAGGGAGAAAGUGGGGGAUCUUCGGACCGCACGCUAUCAGAUGAGCCUAGGUCGGAUUAGCUAGCUGGUGGGGUAAAGGCUUACCAAGGCGACGAUCCGUAACUGGUCUGAGAGGAUGAUCAGUCACACUGGAACUGAGACACGGUCCAGACUACUACGGGAGGAAGCAGUGGGGAAUAUUGGACAAUGGGCGAAAGGCUGAUCCAGCCAUGCCGCGUGUGUGAAGAAGGUCUUCGGAUUGUAAAGCACUUUAAGUUGGGAGGAAGGGCAGUAAGUUAAUACCUUGCUGUUUUGACGUUACCAACAAAAUAAGCACCGGCUAACUUCGUG
This 484-nucleotide ribosomal RNA is filed under the name uncultured bacterium. RNAcentral describes it as "partial 16S ribosomal RNA". It matches the Rfam family "Bacterial small subunit ribosomal RNA", at positions 30 to 507 of the family's 1533-position model. The record is from RNAcentral.